AACAGUUUUAUUGAUUAAAAAACACACUAUAUCGGAUUAAUAUCGGUAUCGGCAGAUAUCCAAAUUUAUGAUAUCGGUAUCGGUAUCGGACAUAAAAAAGUGGUAUCGUGCCAUCUCUACUACUAAUAGAUCACUCUGGAACGGUUUCGUCACCCUAAUUUGCCCACUUAGUAAAUCUCACUCAUGGCCAAGAAAUUGAAAUAAAUCUUGUUUCCCUGCUGGAUAGUGAUCCACUGUAACUCUGCUCCUCCUUCCUGUUUAGGAUUUCUGUGACUGAAGGAAAAUUCCCUCCAUCCAUCACUUAUCCCAGCUAACCCAAAGUAAAAUAAAGUUUUGCUCAUCUUAAAAAAGCAUUACAAUAAUGGGCAUUACCAAUGCAAACUGAAUAAUACAGAAGAUGAAAGAAUAGACUUUGAUCAGUUAAUAAAGCUCAUGGUCUUGAUUCAUUGUGGCUCCUACACAGAUACUUCUGGGUCACUUCUCUCAGUUAGGAACCUUCAUCACCAAAACUGACUGUUGGACCACACCCCUGGUUUCAUGAGAAAUUGUUUCAGCCAUGAUUUCUCUUCCUGUAUUUCAGAGUAAAGACUGAAGUGACAAAUGGAAACAUGGUUAAAAAAAACGUAAUGUGAGAGAGACGUUGAGGUCCUUAGAAGUUACACUGGGUUUUUCUGUCACCCUGCUAGAUGUUACACACCUUGUUAUUGGACUGAUUUCUACUGCUGGACUACUCCUGGGGAGAGUAACAAUACUCUUACUAAUGAGCUCCCUUUCACACCUUUGGGGAUAUUUAUUUUUGUGCUUUUAGCGCUGUGAGCCAGAACAGCGAGAGAAAAAUCUGCAACAGCGACGAGCCGAAUGCUUAAGUGAAUCCCAGCAGCUGCACAUGUGCUACGCUGAUUUAGAGGAUAUCUUUGCUCUGGAUUUAUAUUUAUACUUUUUCAUUUCUAUAUGUGUUGUAAGAUUUUAUGUUUUAUGUGUUUUUAUUCGUUGUUUUUCAUUAACAAGCAUAUCAUGAAGUGUUCAUAUAUUUCACAAGACUUGCUGAACUUUUCCACUGUUGUGCAAGCUGACAUUUAACUCUACAACACAAAUAAGUUAAACCGGAAACAGAUGCAGCACCCAAACCACAAGAGUUCAAAAGUGCACCACGUUUCCUAAAAAGAAGUAGCCAGACACACAUGUGACUCACACACUCCCACACACACAACCAUUGGAUUAGAGGAACUUCUAAAAGAGGAAAUGUGAUGUACUUGCAUACGCGAUGUAACCUAUAAAUAAAGAACUGUGCCUGCACUCAGGGUGUGGGUCUCGCCAGAGUCCUCACCCGUGCAUGGGGUCUCGCCAGAGUCCUCACCCGUGCACGUAUUAUAUUCUAACUGUCUGAGUGUCUUUAUUCAACCUGAAGAAUAUCUUAUUAAAAAUAAACUCUUGACAUUUAAUUGGUCCUUCGAGUCCGGAUUUUGGACAUCGAAUUAUGCUCCAACAGAGUGACCUCGUCGUUUCCUGACAUCGUGGAGAGCCCGCGCUGAAGUCUGUCGACAGCCUCUUUCCUAUGAAAGAGAAAAGACCAACUACAUGAAUUCGGGGUUGGCCAGCGUUCUUAGUAAGAGGUCCACGAUCCUGGGGAACGAGGAGGAAUCUCUGACCGGCACUUAUAUCAUCAUAACCAGUCUCUUCCAGGUUGAAACCAGGCGACUGGAUCCUGAUCAAGGUACUCCAGUGGAAAAACUGGAGCUCUCCGAGGUGGGAGGGCCCUUAUCAGGUCCUGCUCACAACACCGACAGCGUGCAAAAUCGCUGAAAGACCUUCGUGGAUCCACCAGAGCCACGCCAAAAAAGUACAAGGGGACACAAGCCCAGACGCCAGUCCACCUAUCAUCUAGUGAUCUGUGAGUGGAGGGGAGGGCAGAUUGGGUAUACCCCGCCCUCUUGCCUUCUCGCUUUCAGUCGACACACUAGGUGAUCUGGUGAACUUGGUCGACCUGAAGAAACCCCAUUGUAGCCCGAGCACCGACCUAGCCCCACCUGCCCGGUAGAGUAAAGGAAGAUCAGUCCAACCUGCAAAACCAGAAGAGCAACCCAUCACUCAAGUAACUACUCAGACACUCACAAACAAUGCCUGACAUAGACGUGCAAAAUGAACAUUCAGACAUUUCAGAUGGAGAGGACCCAGUCCCCAACAGGACUCGACGACGAUGCUGGUCAGAGGAUUGUCUACUAAUGCAUAAUUAUGUACCCCAUAACAAAACUGAAAUGGCAUUCUUUGUAAACCUACUACAAACUCUAGAAACAGUAAUAAAUACAAGUCUGCGUGCAUGUGCUCCAAAGGAACCAAUAAAGAGCUUAAUAACACUUCCGGUCACACCGCCCGAACUAGCCCAUAACAUGACCAUGGUCUGCCUAUGGAGACUUAGAGUCCCAGAAAAGCAGGGUGUAUCUUUUGUUUAUCCAAAUAAGACACUGCAACCGGAGUCUUCCUGGCACAAGCUUAUAGCCCGAUAGCAACUGAGGAAGAAGAAGACUGUGUUUAAAAAUUUCCUGUACUUCACAUGAUGUAGCAAUUGAAAAUGCGCGAGCAAGUGAUUGUCUACUGAAGUCUAUAGAGUAUGUGUGAAAUAUAUUAACAACAGGAGGGCAUGUUGUAAGAUUUUAUGUUUUAUGUGUUUUUAUUCGUUGUUUUUCAUUAACAAGCAUAUCAUGAAGUGUUCAUAUAUUUCACAAGACUUGCUGAACUUUUCCACUGUUGUGCAAGCUGACAUUUAACUCUACAACACAAAUAAGUUAAACCGGAAACAGAUGCAGCACCCAAACCACAAGAGUUCAAAAGUGCACCACGUUUCCUAAAAAGAAGUAGCCAGACACACAUGUGACUCACACACUCCCACACACACAACCAUUGGAUUAGAGGAACUUCUAAAAGAGGAAAUGUGAUGUACUUGCAUACGCGAUGUAACCUAUAAAUAAAGAACUGUGCCUGCACUCAGGGUGUGGGUCUCGCCAGAGUCCUCACCCGUGCACGUAUUAUA
Long non-coding RNA from Oreochromis aureus, 3028 nucleotides. RefSeq lists it as uncharacterized. The record is from RefSeq and is a predicted model, not a curated record. Lineage: Eukaryota; Metazoa; Chordata; Actinopteri; Cichliformes; Cichlidae. The transcript is spliced from 2 exons.